ACAACAUUCGGACCGUCGGUCUACCGAGCAAUAUCACCAGCUCGGUGGAAGAUCUUCCCUUUGUCUU
RNAcentral lists this microRNA precursor (67 nucleotides) under Bombyx mori (domestic silkworm). RNAcentral describes it as "mir-2774 microRNA precursor family". It matches the Rfam family "mir-2774 microRNA precursor family". Lineage: Eukaryota; Metazoa; Arthropoda; Insecta; Lepidoptera; Bombycidae. The record is from Rfam by way of RNAcentral.